AGUUGAAAAACGCGAGGGGGACAGCUGUACUCCAAAUUACUCAACUCAAUGCCAACUUUACUCAAUAGUUCAACUACAUUUUAUGAAAUUUGUCGCCAACAUAAAAAUAUUGGAGUC
This is a long non-coding RNA of Cotesia glomerata, 117 nucleotides long. RefSeq lists it as uncharacterized. Lineage: Eukaryota; Metazoa; Arthropoda; Insecta; Hymenoptera; Braconidae. The transcript has 3 exons. The record is from RefSeq and is a predicted model, not a curated record.